RNAcentral lists this ribosomal RNA (37 nucleotides) under Pilidium concavum. RNAcentral describes it as "partial 28S ribosomal RNA". Lineage: Eukaryota; Fungi; Ascomycota; Leotiomycetes; Chaetomellales; Chaetomellaceae. The record is from RNAcentral.
UUGUUUGACCUCGGAUCAGGUAGGGAUACCCGCUGAA